UUGCGNNUGGGCGAAGCCUGACGCAGCGACGCCGCGUGGGUGAUGAAGGCCUUCGGGUCGUAAAACCCUGUCGGGUGGAACGAAUCUUCGUCCCGCGAAUACCGGGACGGAUUGACGGUACCACCGAAGGAAGCCCCGGCUAACUACGUGCCAGCAGCCGCGGUAAUACGUAGGGGGCGAGCGUUGUUCGGAUUUACUGGGCGUAAAGAGCGCGUAGGCGGUUCGAUAAGUCGGAGGUGAAAUCCCUCGGCUCAACCGAGGACCCGCGUCCGAUACUGUUGAACUUGAGUGCAGGAGAGGAGAGCGGAAUUCCCAGUGUAGCGGUGAAAUGCGUAGAUAUUGGGAGGAACACCGGUGGCGAAGGCGGCUCUCUGGACUGUUACUGACGCUGAGGCGCGAAAGCUAGGGGAGCAAACGGGAUUAGAUACCCCGGUAGUCCUAGCCGUAAACGAUGAUCACUAGCUGUUGGCGAUAGACCGAUCAGCGGCAAAGCGAAAGCAUUAAGUGAUCCACCUGGGGAGUACGGUCGCAAGAUUGAAACUCAAAAAAAUUGACGGA
RNAcentral lists this ribosomal RNA (558 nucleotides) under uncultured bacterium. RNAcentral describes it as "bacterial SSU rRNA". It matches the Rfam family "Bacterial small subunit ribosomal RNA", at positions 364 to 917 of the family's 1533-position model. The record is from RNAcentral.